RNAcentral lists this ribosomal RNA (160 nucleotides) under uncultured bacterium. RNAcentral describes it as "partial 16S ribosomal RNA". It matches the Rfam family "Bacterial small subunit ribosomal RNA", at positions 355 to 507 of the family's 1533-position model. The record is from RNAcentral.
UAGGGAAUCUUCCGCAGUGGACGAAAGUCUGACGGAGCAACGCCGCGUGAGUGAAGAAGGUUUUCGGAUCGUAAAACUCUGUUGUCAGAGAAGAACAAGUUGGAGAGUAACUGCUCCAGCCUUGACGGUAUCUGACCAGAAAGCCACGGCUAACUACGUG